This 780-nucleotide ribosomal RNA is filed under the name Cobbionema acuminata. Its description in RNAcentral is "partial large subunit ribosomal RNA". It matches the Rfam family "Eukaryotic large subunit ribosomal RNA", at positions 356 to 952 of the family's 3401-position model. Lineage: Eukaryota; Metazoa; Nematoda; Chromadorea; Chromadorida; Selachinematidae. The record is from RNAcentral.
AGGGAAAGUUGCAAAGAACUUUGAAGAGAGAGUUCAAGAGGGCGUGAAACCGCUUAGAAGAAAACAGCUGGAGCUGAUGACAGUCUGUUGGAUUCAGCCAUCUAGUGACUGUGUUCGAUUGGUAUCAGAUCUUUGUGACUGAAUCAGUUGGAAUAUCAUCAGUAACUGUUGGUGCAUUUCCUUCAGAUGAGCAUUGAGGGUGGUGACUAUGUGGUGGAAAACCUCACGAUGCCGGCUGGGAUUCUUAUUCCAGUGUCCCUCGUAGGUAGACUGCGCAUCAUGGACACCAUUGAUGCUUAUGCAUCCACAUCAGUGCGGUAGUGUCGGAAUGGGGGAUUCGAUCAAUUGGUGUUGCUCUGUCCGCAGGCAUGCUAAUUCGGUCCUUCAUUUAAAAGACAUGAAUCCGAGUUGAUGCAGCUUCAAUGUUUCAAAGUCAGCCUCCCAGCUGACCCGUCUUGAAACACGGACCAAGGAGUCUAACAUGUGUGCGAGCUAUUGGGUGGCAAACCCAAAAGCGAAAUGAAAGUGAAACUCAAUCCUGUUGAGCUAUAUGAGAUCCUCGUGUCCCAGUGACCGAGGCGCACCAUAGUCCCGUCCUGUCCGCAUUGUCGGUGGGUCGGAGAUUGAGUGCAUAUGUUGGGACCCGAAAGAUGGUGAACUAUGCCUGAGCAGGAUGAAGCCAGAGGAAACUCUGGUGGAAGUCCAUAGCGGUUCUGACGUGCAAAUCGAUCGUCAGACUUGGGUAUAGGGGCGAAAGACUAAUCGAACCAUCUAGUAGCU